UUAAAAUUGAGGUAAUUGAAAUCAUGGCUUUUUAGGAUCAUGGGAAAAAUUGCCUGAAAUGUGUCAGGCACUGUAAUGAAGUCUCAGAAGCUGCUUUAACUAAAGGGAUUAGGAGGAGCAUUGCUGUGAGAACAAUGGACUAAGUGAUCUUUCCAGGGACAGGGAGUGAUUUAACACCACCACAGUGGGUUUGUGAUGGUGGGAUUGUUCCUGCCUGCCUGGGAGCUGGAGAGGAGGCAAAACAUCAGCAGCCUGGUAGCAGGGGCUGGGACUGGUGUGCUUAUGGCUCUGUAAGAGAAUGCUUGUUUUGUGCCCGGAGAGGCGUAAAUGUGAUCAUCAUCCUUCCACACAGAGCAAAGCAGGAGACACUUGAUGUGAAGAAGAGAUUCCCACUGAGUAAGGGAGCAAUGCAAGGAAGGUCACAUACCCCACAUGUGGACUGGAGGAGUGGCACAAGGGACCAGGUGGGAAGCCAGGAGGUGUAAGGUGGUGGUGGAAUUAUUUUCAUAAAGGUGGCAUGGUGUAGCCCACUGGUUAGGUCCCAGAGCUGAGCUGGUUGGAGUAAGCCCUGCAGUACACUCUUCUCUCACCCGAUGGUGAUGGCAGGCAGGACUUCACAAUCCUGCCACCAACCACCCUGGGUGGCUUCCCAUUCGUAUCUUGAAGCAGAAAUGGGUUGUGUUACAGAUGUCUCUGCUGUAACUUGCAACUAAUGUGACUGAUUAAUGGCCCAGAUAUGCUUAUUCAGUGAAGUAUCAGAAUAAAAUAACUUGGAGAUGUGAAAUGGCAAUUAUCCAGACAUAAAGUAUUUAGAACUGUAGAAUAGCUACGGAUUUAUAGCUUUACAGUGUUAUCACUGUGAAGUACACAACUGUGGAGUUUAUCUUGAGGAUUACGGUACCAAAAGCAGAUCAGUCUUAGAAAAGGAACCAGGCCAGGUGGCAAUCCCCAUGUUCCUGGCACCUUUCUCUCUCAGGUGGCUGUUCUGCACCACUUGUACAGGCUGAAGGAGCAGGUCAGGGUCAGCCCUGCAGCCUAGCUGGCAGCUGUGACCGCAGCUUGGGAAAACUCGCAGCUGGCUCUUCUGCACGGCUUUUAUAAGUGUCAGAAAAGUGGCACGAGUGUGCCCUGGCCAUUGGAAUUCCUAAAUUUGAUAGCUUGUAUAUUGAGGUUUA
Anas platyrhynchos (mallard) is the source of this 1175-nucleotide non-coding RNA. The record is from RefSeq and is a predicted model, not a curated record. Lineage: Eukaryota; Metazoa; Chordata; Aves; Anseriformes; Anatidae.